RNAcentral lists this ribosomal RNA (568 nucleotides) under uncultured Arcobacter sp. RNAcentral describes it as "bacterial SSU rRNA". It matches the Rfam family "Bacterial small subunit ribosomal RNA", at positions 68 to 653 of the family's 1533-position model. Lineage: Bacteria; Pseudomonadati; Campylobacterota; Epsilonproteobacteria; Campylobacterales; Arcobacteraceae. The record is from RNAcentral.
GAGAUUAGCUUGCUUAAUCUGUCAGCUAAGUGGCGCACGGGUGAGUAAUGUAUAGAUAACCUGCCCUUAAGAAAGGAAUAACAGUUGGAAACGACUGCUAAUGCCCUAUAUGCCUUUAAUACAUAAGUAUGCAAGGGAAACGCUUUAGUGCUUAAGGAUGGGUCUGUAUGGUAUCAGCUUGUUGGUGAGGUAAUGGCUCACCAAGGCUAUGACGCCUAACUGGUUUGAGAGGAUGAUCAGUCACACUGGAACUGAGACACGGUCCAGACUCCUACGGGAGGCAGCAGUGGGGAAUAUUGCACAAUGGACGAAAGUCUGAUGCAGCAACGCCGCGUGGAGGAUGACACAUUUCGGUGCGUAAACUCCUUUUAUAUAGGAAGAUAAUGACGGUACUAUAUGAAUAAGCACCGGCUAACUCCGUGCCAGCAGCCGCGGUAAUACGGAGGGUGCAAGCGUUACUCGGAAUCACUGGGCGUAAAGAGCGUGUAGGCGGGUAUAUAAGUCAGAAGUGAAAUCCUAUAGCUUAACUAUAGAACUGCUUUUGAAACUGUAUACCUAGAAUGUGGGG